This 481-nucleotide ribosomal RNA is filed under the name uncultured bacterium. RNAcentral's name for it is "partial 16S ribosomal RNA". It matches the Rfam family "Bacterial small subunit ribosomal RNA", at positions 28 to 507 of the family's 1533-position model. The record is from RNAcentral.
GAUGAACGCUGGCGGCGUGCUUAACACAUGCAAGUCGAACGAAACACUUUAUUUUAUUUCCUUCGGGCCUGAUGCUUUUGUGACUGAGUGACGUACGUAUGCUUCACGCGUCUGUAACCUGCCUUCUGCAGGGUGAUGACAAUACGAAACAGCUGCUAAUGCCGCAUAAGCGCACAGCAUCGCAUGAUGCAGUUGGAAAAGCUCCGGUGGUAUACGAUGUACGCGCGUUGGUUUAGCUAGUCGGUGAGGUUACGGCAUACCAAGGCGACGAUGCAUAGCCGAGCGGAGAGGCGGACAGGCCACAUUGGGACUGCGACACGGCCCAAACUCCUACGCGAGGCAGCAGUGGGGAAUAUUGCACAAGGGGCGAAAGUCUGACGAAGCGACGUCGCGUGAGAGAAGAAGUAGGUUGGUAUGUAAAGCUCUAUCAGCAGGGAAGAUAAUGACGGUACCGGACUAAGAAGCACCGGCUAACUACGUG